GACGAACGCUGGCGGUGUGCCUAAUACAUGCAAGUCGAGCGCGGGAAAUAAGCUGAUUCUCAUCUGAGAUGACGCUUAUGGAACGAGCGGCGGACGGGUGAGUAACACGUGGGUAACCUGCCUGUGAGACUGGGAUAACUUGCGGAAACGUGAGCUAAUACCGGAUAACACUUUCUAUUGCAUGAUAGAAAGAUGAAAGACGGCGUAAGCUGUCACUUACAGAUGGACCCGCGGCGCAUUAGCUAGUUGGUGAGGUAAGGGAUCACCAAGGCGACGAUGCGUAGCCGACCUGAGAGGGUGAUCGGCCACACUGGGACUGAGACACGGCCCAGACUCCUACGGGAGGCAGCAGUAGGGAAUCUUCCGCAAUGGACGAAAGUCUGACGGAGCAACGCCGCGUGAGUGAUGAAGGUCUUCGGAUCGUAAAACUCUGUUGUUAGGGAAGAACAAGUUGGGUAGUAACUGACCUGACCUUGACGGUACCUAACCAGAAAGCCACGGCUAACUACGUGCCAGCAGCCGCGGUAAUACGUAGGUGGCAAGCGUUGUCCGGAUUUAUUGGGCGUAAAGCGCGCGCAGGCGGUCUUUUAAGUCUGAUGUGAAAUCUUGCGGCUUAACCGUAAGCGGUCAUUGGAAACUGGAGGACUUGAGUACAGAAGAGGAGAGUGGAAUUCCACGUGUAGCGGUGAAAUGCGUAGAGAUGUGGAGGAACACCAGUGGCGAAGGCGACUCUCUGGUCUGUAACUGACGCUGAGGCGCG
This 760-nucleotide ribosomal RNA is filed under the name uncultured Bacillota bacterium. RNAcentral describes it as "bacterial SSU rRNA". It matches the Rfam family "Bacterial small subunit ribosomal RNA", at positions 28 to 755 of the family's 1533-position model. Lineage: Bacteria; Bacillati; Bacillota. The record is from RNAcentral.